UCUGAGCCACAUCCCCAGGCCAUUUACUUUUAUUUCUUUAUUUUUAAGAUGUGAGACAAGGUCUUGCUUUGUCAACUGUACGGGGGCAGAGCGAACACCUCAGGUUCUGGCCAUUGGGCUAGGAUCCCAGCAGGCCUGGGCCACUAGCGCAGCUGGGCUGUUUUAGUCAGAACUGGGUAUGGAGAAAGCCAAUAAACGGAAAUAAAGCAGGGACUGACCAUCCUGGACUCUAGCCUAGUUCGAUCUCCCAGGACGCGGACAGGAGCCAGCGCCGCGCACGCAGGGUGCAGAGUGGGGCGCAUUCGGGACUGCGCAGCCCGCGUGGCACCGCCUCCGCCGGCUGCCGCGGGGACUCCGGUGGAGCUGGGGUGCGCAACGCCGGCUGUAGCCGGCGACGGCUAGGUCAAGCCCCCACCCCGGCUCCUCUUCUCCUCUCUCCUCCGACCAUCUCCGCGGGACUCCCCGGCAGCCGGCGCCCAGCACGGGGAGCUGGCCGGAGAGGUCUCUGGGUCUGAUGGCUUCGGGAGGCCGGAACUCACCGGGACCGGGACCAGGACCGGGACUGGACCUAGCAGAGCCCUGCGCGGGGGAGGAGGGUCGGGAUGACACACGGCGGGCCGGGACACCCGACCUCUGGCGCCUGGCAGCCAUCACUGAAGAUGAUGCUUCAUUAACCCCAAGUCUGAAGAUCAACUCAGAAACUUAGGACUUAUUACCACUUGGAAUUCCUAAGCAUAACAUCACGCUUCCUUUGGACUCACCCAGCUCUCUAGCUAAAAGCAGUGGCUAAGAACCUCUCAGGACAAUGAUGACACCUGGAGUUUCAGGUGGUCCUUCUGACCCUUCAGGAAUUCACAUGUUUUGCUUGCCCCCCUCUCUUCUUGUGUCCUUUGGUAAGCUCAAGGGCCAGCUGCUUGAAGAGCCAGCAGCGAUCGCUAUGCUCUUGCACACUCCACAUCAAUAGCAUCCUCUAAUCAGCACUUGUUACUCACUCAUCCUGAGGUCCUCAAAAAACUUUGAAAUCCAGACUUAAAAGAUGAUGCAUCUCUGCCUCUGGAAAUAACUUCCAUAUUUCUUGAAAGGACUCAAAACCAUAGAGAUACUUCCUGAGCACCGGAGGUGCCACAGGAUCGGAUGAAGAAGCAUGUGUGACAGGUCAGUUGGGAGAAGAUGUGUGUCCUCUGGCUGAUGAGAGUGACAGAACCCUGAAGGUAAGAUGGGAACCUUCAGGCUGGGGUGGUUGUGUAGGCUUGUGGCAAGUGCAGUGUUUAAAAAUGAGCUGUGGACAGUGCAGAGAAAUUUCAAAGGGGAGCACAUGGAAGCAAAUCAUUGCAAAUGCAUGGAAGGGAAAGGUUACGAUUUCUUAACCUGUAAGCGAUGAAGGUAGAUAUUUAUCAUCUCUUAGGAGAAAUUAAUAACUGAAGUAAAAACACAUAUUUGCAUUGUCCCUGGGAUAAUCAUUUUUAGUUUUUUGUUUGUUUGUUUGAGACAAGGUUUCACUCUGUUAUUCAAGCUGACUUUGAACUCACUGCAUAACCCAGGUUGGCCUGGAACCCACUACAAUCCUUCUGCCUCAGCCUCCUGAGUAAUGGAGUACAGGCAUACACCACCACGCCAGCACCUGGACAAUCUUGAUUGUGAACUUAAUUCAUUUGUCAGAUCAGUGAAAUACCUCCUGAGUAUUUCUGAGUGUGGUGGGUCAGGGAGGCAUGGCCUUGGGUGUAUAUCUGCUCCUCACCACACACACACACAAGUUGCUCUUCCCCCAGGGUCUUUAUUCAAUCCACCAUAAAGUAACAACUUUAAGUAUUUCUAGUUUAGAAACUGCUGUGGGAUGAAACCUGUGAGUCUGUUAGCCCAAACUAAUCUCUACCCCUUUAAAUUGGGAGAAUGGAGUAUUUUGUCCAGAAGUGGGUAAGCUGUCUAAUAUAUUCCGUGAAAACUUGGUUCUGUUUACUUGCACAUUUAUGUUUCAUCAUGGUAUUGUUGCCAGUUUUAUCUUGACUUAUUUUUUUAUGCAUAAUUCAGAAAAAAACAUUCUGACAGCAAAAUCUACCCCAGACAUCCUCAGGUAACACUGACUAGAAUGACUUUUCUCUUUAUAAUUCAUCUGAACAAAUUGCUUGGCCUAUCUCAAUAUGUAUCUUGAUUUGUUAUUCUGUAUUUCCAGGAGGCAUGCAGGGUGCACCUGCAUCUCCUGCAGAGAAACAGGACAAACUGCACUUUUGUAGUCAAACUAAACUCAGCCGUUUGCAAUGGUCAUCCCUGAGGCCUGCCUCUGCGUGGAUCCAAUGCAGAUAGUGGUCAGACAGUUGGCAAGACACAAAGGCUCCUGAACUUCCAGUGGUGUCAAAAGAAACCUCUAUCAGCCAAGAACAAGCCUACCUGACAACAUAUGACUCACACUAGAGGUGUGGUAUUUGUGUUCCUGCUAUCUUCAGAAAUCAGCAGAUAUGUCUUUGGACAAAUCAGACGUGGAAACCUCAGAAUGAUGCCAAGGAGAGCACAGAGAAAGCUAAUCUAGGCAAGU
This is a long non-coding RNA of Cavia porcellus (domestic guinea pig), 2530 nucleotides long. RefSeq lists it as uncharacterized. The transcript is spliced from 7 exons. NCBI's taxonomy places the organism in Eukaryota, Metazoa, Chordata, Mammalia, Rodentia, Caviidae. The record is from RefSeq and is a predicted model, not a curated record.